GGAUAAUUGAUUAAUUACUCUCAUUUUAUUAAGCAAUGCAUUAAGUAGGGUUCAGUGCACUAAAAACUCAUUAACCAGGGCAAUCAGGGACAAGCACAACAAGCACAUGCAAUUUGAUUUUCCCAAGGGUUGCAAAACACCCGCACGUAUACACAAAACCCUUUUGAAGUCCCAAGUCAUCACAUCCUGCAACCUGGAAAAGCAGAAGAGCCAAACUGCUCUGCCUGCUUUUGUAGGUCUUGCAGUAAGACAUUGCUAUCAGGACCCUGUUGGUCUGAACAGGUAGGACAAGGAGGAAACUUGUGUUUUAGAGCAGUGAGACAUGUGAAAGGGAAAGAAAGAAAAAUCUUCCUUUGUAUGAGGGUAGUUGGGUGAAUAUAGCAAACGGGCAUGAGCUGCAGUCCCUGGCUGGCUUGGAAUAAAGUGCUGCUGAACUCAACUCAGGCUGGAAGUUUUCACACGGUUUGAGUAACACCUGAGUCAAAUCAAUUCCCUAAGAAAGCCAUACAGCUCUGCAUCCUCCCAUCUUCUUAAUGCACAGCAUAACACUGCCUGAUGCACCCGCAAGCCCAAAUGGGAGCUGGAUCUUGAGUGCUCCUGGCAAAUAUUUGCCUGUAUUGUCAGUAAUUGGGUUGACGGUCUGUUGUCAGUCUUGAAUAUUUCGUGGAGGUAAGGCCCACCGUAAUGGAACCUAUCAUGAGAAUGGUGUUGUUUUACUGCUCAGUAUGGUUCGGUGGACCGUUCACCACGGCUUCAUGGACAUUAGCUCUUUGUGGUUGGAGAACCGAUGACUUAAUGCGGUGCUGAGAGGUAAUUUUGCUGUUACCGUGAUGGAUGCAGCACAGUAACAUGGGUAGAAAAUAGUGUCUAUUUAUGGGCCUCUCAUCAAGAUAUAUGAUCUAUAGAAUGAAAUGUUUUCUUGGUAACAGUCUGAAGAAUUGUGUAAGAACUGCUGACAGCUCGGACUGUGCCUUUGGUGGUGAGGUAGAGAGAAGCAGGAAAGAUGGAUGCAGCAAUUAUGAUGGAGGCAAAGUCAGCCAACAAAUUGGCCAUUUCCUUUUUUCCAUUCAGUUAGGAGUGACAAAUGGUUUAAUUUACAUUACUUCCUUACAUUAAACUACAGUGUGUUCAACUGCCUGGAGAUUAAUUCAGUCUAUGGAUCUGGCAGGUUGUAUUUAUUUGAAUGUGUUUUCUUUUUAAAGGUUCAUAUUGAAUUUUGCUUGGUUCUAGUCUGUUAGGCUCCUGAAAUGCAUGUUUGCAAGAAACCUAGAUGAAAGGAUUACAGAGCAAUUAAAAUUCCUUGUCCUUUUUCUUUUUCCUUUCUGGCACCCCUGUUUGUAGAGUGGAUUGUUUCUGUCUGGAAGAUCUAAUUAAGCUUGCAACACUGAAAGAUGGUAAAGAGUUCGAGGUAGCCUUUGCCAUUCAGCAUAGGUAGGGCACGAGAGCUGCAUGAUACCUUACUUAUGUCAUGUUCUCAUGUCAUUUGCACUUGAUGUGACAACUCAAAACGCCAUAAACAGAUGAGAAGGAUUGUUUAACGGAGUCGCAUUGAUUUACAGUACUGAAAACGCGGCUUAUCCUUUCCAAAAAUGGGAUUAACUAACUCAAACUUCUCUGUAAAAAGGAAUGUAGAGGCCUUUCUCACUAUGCCCUAACAUUUUAGUGGAAUCAGUCUGAAUCAAUCCUGCUAGCCAGUGCUCAGAAAUAAAAUCUGGUGUUAUUUUUAACUGUGUAAUAAUGGAUACAGAAGACAACUAAUUUCUAGGAACAGGAGAGCAGUUAACAGAAAUAGUGAGUGCUAUUUUCAUCGGGUUUGGCUCUGUUUUCUUCUUGAGAUUUGUCCACUGACACAUCAAGGUGUGGGGUUUAUUUUGCAAUGUAUCUGCUUAUCAGAAGUAGCCACUGACUACUUUCUGUGAGUAAAUUUUGGUCUGUGAUUUGUUGGUGAGUGUUCAGCACUCAAAUCCAAGCUGCUUUGAGUACGUACGCCAAAUAAACACACCUUGCCUAGGGCCAGCACAUAUCCUGACUUACUUACAGUUUUGAGUAGGCUGAAUUAAUGCACAGGCCAGAAGUCUGCUCCUCUUGCCAGAACAGAAAUUGAUGUCAGCAGUUACCUGUUGAGGAGGAAGAUGCUUCUCACAGAGGUGAUCACGAGCCAGAUCUCAUUUCAGAGUGGGUCUCAGGUGAGGGGGACAGGCUUGACGAAGUGACCGAGCAUGUGCCCCUACGGCGGAUCUCUAAGUGGCUGCUGCAGCCUUGUCGUUUCCUUGUCCUCCUCAUCCCCAAACUUUGCAGAUCCCCACCUGCACUCUUUAGAAACCAUGCCUCUGCACUUCGACUCUGCGUCUCUAAAAUGGGUAUAAAGGGACUUCUUUCCUCCCUCACUGGACUGCAAAGGCUUGGUCUCUGAGCGGCAGGGACUGCCUGGGACUUCAGGCAUCCCAGCAGCAGCAGUGCCCCACAUUCAGCUGUGUCUCGCUGCUGCUAAUUGACAGCAGAGUGAGUGCCAGCUCCUCAGGAUGUAGGCUGGGUGUAUUUUCCUGUGAAGCCCACUUGCGUCGUUUUGUGGCUAAACAAAUAACAUGGCUGUCUUCUGCUGCUCUUUGUUACUUCUCACCCGUCUUGUGAUUUAUGCAAGGCCUCAUCCUAGGGCUGUCCUCUAUCUAUUCAUGUAUUUAGCUCCAGCUUUUUGCUGUGCCAUCUGAGAGCAGAAAGCCCAGCGUUACACAGAACAGGAGCAAAGCGAGGAGAAGGCAGAUUCUGACGGAGCUCGCCAAGGCCUAGGCUUGGUGAGUGGUAACCAAGGCAACGAGGCCUCUUUGGAAAUAAGUGCUCACUGCAGCCCCCCAUUUUGUGCAGAGAACUGGGCAGCGUUAAAGAUUAGAGAAGACAAGGUGAGCCACACUCAGGACUCCCGUGCUGCUUAUGCCUUAGUUGUGUGAAGGGUGAAGUCAGUCGCUGCAUGGGCUCUGCAGAAAGAAGGGCUGAAAGCUACAGAGGCAGAGUGAACAGAGCAGUGGUUGUGGCAAGGAGGAUCCCCAAGCAGGGCUGACUACAGGCAAGGGAGAGCCUGGACCAGCGUCUUGCUGUUGCUUCGUGUGACAGAUUUCUUCUGCGGUUUUAGGUGCCUUUGUCUGUGGCCAUCUGAGCGUCUUCCAAGGACGUGCCAAGUGAUGAACGAGCGUGAUUUAAGGCUACCCCUGAAAGCUGCGUGCGUUUCAGCAGACUGCAGAACGUGUCAACACAAUCGCUUCAAGGCUUUCAGCUUGCUGAAGCCCCUGUCAGCACUCUGCAGCUUCUGUGGACUGCCUGAUCAGCAGCGCUCUGACCAUUAAUAUUUAUAAACCUUAAAUAAUAAAGGACUUCAGGGUACCUGAGAGACCAUAUGUUGGCCUCCCAUUCCCUACAAAGCACCUGAGAUCAGUGUGGCUACAACCCAGGCUGCUCUGGCCCCAGAAGGGGAAGGGGGGAGCAUUGCCCCGGAGGGCCUCCGUCUUCGGAUUGCUCCCUCCUUCAUUAGUUACCAGAGCACAUCGCCUCCAUCCUUCAGGGCCAAGCUGCAGGCUUCUGUCUUUCCUUUUAGGCUGGAGUCUUAAUGCAUUUAUUACCGGGCUUCGUUUGGUUGUGACCUUGGCUGCUUGGUUGUCCUUUCUCCUCCCCACCUUUCGGUAAAAACGCGUUGAUGCACGAGGAGAGACAGCCCUGAGAUUUUUAUUAAUUUAGUAAUUUAUCGCUUUUGGUAAUUUUUUUUUUUGUCCUGAAUCUUGCCAAGGUGCUUGGUAACCGUUUGGCCACAGCUGCCUGUGAAUUAGCAUUUAGCGUAUGCAUGUGCGAAGACGCAGCCCCAUGAAUAAUGCAUGGUAAUAAACAGCCUGCUCAUUGGGCUCGGGGCAGGGCGCUACCGCGUAUGGAUUAGCCUCGAGGACCAGGACCAGCAGUAUUAAUAACGUGUGUAUCAGGUGGAGACAGCCCGCCUGAGCCCAUUGUGUGCUGCCCCGCUUACCUUGGUGAUAAAAACCUCCCUCGGCCUCGCCGAGUCCUCCCCUUGUACCCUGCGGGCCCAAACCCUUGGGGAACGACCCCCUCUGCCUGGCCACCUGUGGGCUCAAUUUAUUUUAUUUAGCCCCGGUGGGACGAGUGCAAAAAGGGAGAAAGGGAGCAAAAUCCCUGCCACGAGGCCCGGAGGGAGGCCGGGAGGCUGCUGGGGGUGCUGAAGGGACAGCGCUCGGCACGGCUCAGCACGGCUCAGCCCCUCCUCCAGGGCUGCCUGCUGCCUGCCCUGAGCCCCCCCAGCAGGGCCUCGGGGGCUCCUGGCCUUGUAGAGGCUCCAGUGACUCGUGAGGCCACCGCUGCGGGCUCCCGGAGGUAAGUCCCGGUGAACGGCUCGCCUGCCGCCCUCGCUC
Molecule: long non-coding RNA, 4406 nt
Organism: Cygnus olor (mute swan)
Lineage: Eukaryota; Metazoa; Chordata; Aves; Anseriformes; Anatidae
Exons: 4
Source: RefSeq, a predicted model, not a curated record